Molecule: unclassified non-coding RNA, 540 nt
Filed under: Zea mays
Lineage: Eukaryota; Viridiplantae; Streptophyta; Magnoliopsida; Poales; Poaceae
Description: misc RNA Zm00001eb310120
Source: RNAcentral
CAACUCGCCUCUCUGUUCUUCCACGCAGCACCAGACGCACGACUCUCCUCUGUCUUCUCUGUGCCGCCUCCUCGCCGAGCUGCGCGCUGCCAACCGCGCCGGUGAACUCGCCCGGUCCGGCGCACUGCUCGUCUCGGCUCCUUUGGAAAUCCUUCGCGAACGUCUCGUCAAGUUGUCAGGCCUGUCUUCGAGUUUGGUGGAGUCCCAAGCUUGCGCGCCGUCGGCCUCUACCUCCUGUGUCCGAUCGUCGUCGCCCCUGCUCACUUCAUCCAACUGCUCCCUUCAUCUCGGCCGAGCUCGACGUCCAGCAAGCCGCCUGCUCGUGUUCCAUCUCUUCAACCAUCAGCUUCCGUGGAACACACUGGUAGGGGUUCUAAUCCCUGAAAUUGAUGUGGGGUGUGUGUUUAAGCGUGUAUGGGGGUGCUCUCUGUGCAUCGGAUUAGAGGUUAGAUGGUUGCCGAUAGCUGUUGUCGUCUGGAUUUGGCCGGCGGGGAAAAGGGAUCACCCUGUGCAUCACGUUGAAGAAGAAGGGGCUCUUUG